This 223-nucleotide long non-coding RNA is filed under the name Solanum tuberosum (potato). RNAcentral's name for it is "long non-coding RNA (STUB_LNC009977)". The record is from RNAcentral. Lineage: Eukaryota; Viridiplantae; Streptophyta; Magnoliopsida; Solanales; Solanaceae.
GUCUAUGCCAAAAUCUAUUUCCCUUUCGGGAGGAACACCGGGAAGGUCAUUAGGAAAGACAUCAAGGAAUUCAUUUACAACCGGAACCGACUCUAUAGGAAGGGUUUUGGACUCCACAUCCCUAACCCUCACAAGAUGAUAGAGACACCCCUUAGAGAUCAACUUACGGGCUUUAAUGCAAGAGAUGAACCUACCCUUGACUACCACAUUUUGGCUCUCCCAC